AGUGAACGCUGGCGGUAUGCUUAACACAUGCAAGUCGAACGGCAGCACAGUAAGAGCUUGCUCUUACGGGGGGUGAGUGGCGGACGGGUGAGGAAUACAUCGGAAUCUACCUUUUCGUGGGGGAUAACGUAGGGCAACUUACGCUAAUACCGCAUACGACCUACGGGUGAAAGCAGGGGAUCUUCGGACCUUGCGCGUUUGAAUGAGCCGAUGUCGGUUUAGCUAGUUGGCGGGGUAAAGGCCCACCGAGGCGACGAUCCGUAGCGGGUCUGAGAGGUUGGACGGCCACACUGGAAAUGGGACCUGGUCCAGACUCCAAAGGGAGGCGGGAGGGGGGAAUAUUGGACAUUGCGCGAUGGCCUGAUCCAGGCAGCACGCGCGGGUGGAGAAGGCCUUCGGGUUGUGAAGCCCUUUUGUUGGGAAAGAAAAGCAGAAGGUUAAUACCCCGCUGUUCUGACGGUACCCAAAGAAGAAGCACCGGCUAACUUCGUG
RNAcentral lists this ribosomal RNA (492 nucleotides) under uncultured bacterium. Its description in RNAcentral is "partial 16S ribosomal RNA". It matches the Rfam family "Bacterial small subunit ribosomal RNA", at positions 29 to 507 of the family's 1533-position model. The record is from RNAcentral.